GACGAACGCUGGCGGCGUGCUUAACACAUGCAAGUCGAACGGAAAGGCCCUGCUUUUGUGGGGUGCUCGAGUGGCGAACGGGUGAGUAACACGUGAGUAACCUGCCCUUGACUUUGGGAUAACUUCAGGAAACUGGGGCUAAUACCGGAUAGGGGCUCCUGCUGCAUGGUGGGGGUUGGAAAGUUUCGGCGGUUGGGGAUGGACUCGCGGCUUAUCAGCUUGUUGGUGGGGUAGUGGCUUACCAAGGCUUUGACGGGUAGCCGGCCUGAGAGGGUGACCGGCCACAUUGGGACUGAGAUACGGCCCAGACUCCUACGGGAGGCAGCAGUGGGGAAUAUUGCACAAUGGGCGGAAGCCUGAUGCAGCAACGCCGCGUGCGGGAUGACGGCCUUCGGGUUGUAAACCGCUUUCGCCUGUGACGAAGCGUGAGUGACGGUAAUGGGUAAAGAAGCACCGGCUAACUACGUGCCAGCAGCCGCGGUGAUACGUAGGGUGCGAGCGUUGUCCGGAUUUAUUGGGCGUAAAGGGCUCGUAGGUGGUUGAUCGCGUCGGAAGUGUAAUCUUGGGGCUUAACCCUGAGCGUGCUUUCGAUACGGGUUGACUUGAGGAAGGUAGGGGAGAAUGGAAUUCCUGGUGGAGCGGUGGAAUGCGCAGAUAUCAGGAGGAACACCAGUGGCGAAGGCGGUUCUCUGGGCCUUUCCUGACGCUGAGGAGCGAAAGCGUGGGGAGCGAACAGGCUUAGAUACCCUGGUAGUCCACGCUGUAAACGGUGGGUACUAGGUGUGGGGUCCAUUCCACGGGUUCCGUGCCGUAGCUAACGCUUUAAGUACCCCGCCUGGGGAGUACGGCCGCAAGGCUGAAACUCAAAGGAAUUGACGGGGCCCCGCACAAGCGGCGGAGCAUGCGGAUUAAUUCGAUGCAACGCGUAGAACCUUACCUGGGUUUGACAUGGAUCGGGAGUGCUCAGAGAUGGGUGUGCCUCUUUUGGGGUCGGUUCACAGGUGGUGCAUGGCUGUCGUCAGCUCGUGUCGUGAGAUGUUGGGUUAAGUCCCGCAACGAGCGCAACCCUUGUUCACUGUUGCCAGCACGUUAUGGUGGGGACUCAGUGGAGACCGCCGGGGUCAACUCGGAGGAAGGUGGGGAUGACGUCAAGUCAUCAUGCCCCUUAUGUCCAGGGCUUCACGCAUGCUACAAUGGCUGGUACAGAGAGUGGCGAGCCUGUGAGGGUGAGCGAAUCUCGGAAAGCCGGUCUCAGUUCGGAUUGGGGUCUGCAACUCGACCUCAUGAAGUCGGAGUCGCUAGUAAUCGCAGAUCAGCAACGCUGCGGUGAAUACGUUCCCGGG
Molecule: ribosomal RNA, 1343 nt
Filed under: uncultured bacterium
Lineage: Bacteria
Description: 16S ribosomal RNA
Rfam family: Bacterial small subunit ribosomal RNA
Source: RNAcentral